RNAcentral lists this ribosomal RNA (1390 nucleotides) under Apilactobacillus kunkeei. RNAcentral's name for it is "bacterial SSU rRNA". It matches the Rfam family "Bacterial small subunit ribosomal RNA", at positions 59 to 1428 of the family's 1533-position model. Lineage: Bacteria; Bacillati; Bacillota; Bacilli; Lactobacillales; Lactobacillaceae. The record is from RNAcentral.
AAAUUGAUUUUAUGCUUGCAUAAAUGAUUUUUGGAUUCGGAGCGAGUGGCGAACUGGUGAGUAACACGUGGGUAACCUGCCCCGAAGCGGGGGAUAACAUUUGGAAACAAGUGCUAAUACCGCAUAAUUAGUUGGAACCGCAUGGUUCCAACUUGAAAGAUGGCUCUGCUAUCACUUUGGGAUGGACCCGCGCCGUAUUAGUUAGUUGGUGAGAUAAAAGCCCACCAAGACGAUGAUACGUAGCCGACCUGAGAGGGUAAUCGGCCACAUUGGGACUGAGACACGGCCCAGACUCCUACGGGAGGCAGCAGUAGGGAAUCUUCCACAAUGGACGAAAGUCUGAUGGAGCAACGCCGCGUGAGUGAUGAAGGUUUUCGGAUCGUAAAACUCUGUUGUUAAAGAAGAACAAGUGUUAGAGUAACUGUUAACACUUUGACGGUAUUUAACCAGAAAGCCACGGCUAACUACGUGCCAGCAGCCGCGGUAAUACGUAGGUGGCAAGCGUUGUCCGGAUUUAUUGGGCGUAAAGCGAGCGCAGGCGGUUUUGUAAGUCUGCUGUGAAAGCCCUCAGCUCAACUGAGGAAGUGCAGUGGAAACUACAAAACUUGAGUACAGAAGAGGAAAGUGGAACUCCAUGUGUAGCGGUGAAAUGCGUAGAUAUAUGGAAGAACACCAGUGGCGAAGGCGGCUUUCUGGUCUGUUACUGACGCUGAGGCUCGAAAGCAUGGGUAGCGAACAGGAUUAGAUACCCUGGUAGUCCAUGCCGUAAACGAUGAAUACUAGGUGUUGGAGGGUUUCCGCCCUUCAGUGCCGCAGCUAACGCAUUAAGUAUUCCGCCUGGGGAGUACGACCGCAAGGUUGAAACUCAAAGGAAUUGACGGGGGCCCGCACAAGUGGUGGAGCAUGUGGUUUAAUUCGAUGCUACGCGAAGAACCUUACCAGCUCUUGACAUCUUCUGCCAACCCAAGAGAUUGGGCGUUCCCUUCGGGGACAGAAUGACAGGUGGUGCAUGGUUGUCGUCAGCUCGUGUCGUGAGAUGUUGGGUAAGUCCCGCAACGAGCGCAACCCUUAUUAUUAGUUGCCAGCAUUUAGUUGGGCACUCUAGUGAGACUGCCGGUGAUAAACCGGAGGAAGGUGGGGACGACGUCAAAUCAUCAUGCCCCUUAUGAGCUGGGCUACACACGUGCUACAAUGGAUGGUACAACGAGUCGCGAAACCGCGAGGUCAAGCUAAUCUCUUAAAGCCAUUCUCAGUUCGGAUUGCAGGCUGCAACUCGCCUGCAUGAAGUUGGAAUCACUAGUAAUCGUGGAUCAGCAUGCCACGGUGAAUACGUUCCCGGGCCUUGUACACACCGCCCGUCACACCAUGAGAGUUUGUAACACCCAAAGAC